GUGGUCAGCCACACUGGGACUGAGACACUGCCCAGACUCCUACGGGAGGCUGCAGUCGAGAAUAUUUAGCAAUGGACGAAAGUCUGACUAUGCGACGCCGCGUGAAGGAUGAAGGUUUUCGGAUCGUAAACUUCUUUUUUCAGGAAAGAAACUUUUAACUCUAAUACAGUUAAAACUGACGGUACCUGAAGAAUAAGCCACGGCCAACUCCGUGCCAGCAGCCGCGGUAAUACGGAGGUGGCAAGCGUUACUCGGAUUCACUGGGUGUAAAGGGCAAGUAGGCGGUCUAAUGGGUGAGGGGUGAAAUCUUCCGGCUCAAUCGGAAAACUGCCUUUCAAACUAUUAGACUUGAGGAUGGAAGAGGAAAAUGGAAUUCUCAGUGUAAGGGUGAAAUCUGUAGAUAUUGAGAAGAACACCAGCGGCGAAGGCGAUUUUCUGGUCCAUUCCUGACGCUGAAUUGCGAAAGCUAGGGGAGCAAACAGAAUUAGAUACUCUGGUAGUCCUAGCCGUAAACGAUGAGCACUAGGUGUUGGCCCCUCGGGGUCAGUGCCGCAGCUAACGCAUUAAGUGCUCCACCUGGGGACUACGGUCGCAAGAUUAAAACUCAAAGGAAUUGACGGGGACCCGCACAAGCGGUGGAACAUGUGGUUCAAUUCGAUGCUACGCGAAGAACCUCACCAGGGCUUGACAUGUAGAAAGUAGUGAUCUGAAAGGUGAACGACCUGUCAAGUCAGGAAUUUACACAGGUGCUGCAUGGCUGUCGUCAGCUCGUGUCGUGAGAUGUUGGGUUAAGUCCCGCAACGAGCGCAACCAUUAUCUCUUGUUGCCACCAUUGUUUUCCUUCGGGAAAGCAGUGAGCACUCUAGAGAGACUGCCUGGGUUAACCAGGAGGAAGGCGGAGAUGACGUCAAGUCAGUACGGCCUUUAUGCCCUGGGCUACACACGUGUUACAAUGGCAGGUACAAAGAGUUGCCAACCCGUAAGGGGGAGCUAAUCUCAAAAAACCUGCCUCAGUUCGGAUUGGAGUCUGAAAUUCGACUUCAUGAAGCUGGAAUCGCUAGUAAUGGCAGAUCAGCACGCUGCCGUGAAUACGUUCCCGGGUCUUGUACACACCGCCCGUCAAGCGAUGGAAGUUAGUGGUACCCGAAGUCCUAUGUAGAUAGGCCGAAGGCAAAACUGAUGACUGGCGCUAAGUCGUAACAAGGUA
Molecule: ribosomal RNA, 1207 nt
Filed under: metagenome
Description: bacterial SSU rRNA
Rfam family: Bacterial small subunit ribosomal RNA
Source: RNAcentral